Capra hircus (goat) is the source of this 1058-nucleotide long non-coding RNA. RefSeq lists it as uncharacterized. Lineage: Eukaryota; Metazoa; Chordata; Mammalia; Artiodactyla; Bovidae. The transcript is spliced from 3 exons. The record is from RefSeq and is a predicted model, not a curated record.
CCCAGAUGGGGCCGGAGUGGACGGAGAAGAGCCUGGGGACUCGUCCCAGAGGGCAGCAGUGACUCACUGAGCAUCUACCAUGGCUCUUAGCAGGACCCAGAGGUGCCACUAACCCAGUCCUGGUCCCCAGCGACCCUGGGGAGGAGCUUAACCUCGCUUUGCAGGAGUGAGGCGCAGAAGUAGACAGGAGUGCCGGGGAGAAAUAGAAAGGACCUGUAUUUCCUGGAGCCGGACUCAGUUCUACACGCCUCUUAGUGCUUCCCAAGUGAUGCAACUUACAACCAGAUCGCUCCCCACCAUCUGCUGUUCCCUUCGCCGGCUGCCCAGUCUUGGUUUGACUGCAGCUAUCGCCAGACAAACAGCGCCCAGAUCUGAGCCCCAGUCUGACUCUGAAGCCCGUGUAUGAAGCCUCUACCACCGUGUUCAUCAGGCCAAGAGUCAUCAGAGACCAGCUGGCCAGCACACCGGGACCCCGGAGAGCCUGCCCUGGGCCUAGCAGAUGACCCAGCAUUCAGGCUGCCCGACCUCCCGCCGUCUCCACUAGGAGAGCCCACAUCCCUGCAAGCCAGCCUGACCCUCAGCCCCCUUGGCAGCCGCAGAGCCCUCCAGGUCUAUGACUGUCAGCGGUGGCCGCUGACAAGGCUGCUCAGUGACUCAAGGGAUCGAUGUGUAGACUGUGUACCAACCAGCAGGAAAUGGUUCCCUUUUUCUGUAGCUGGUCUGAGUGCGGCAUGCGGGCAGAUCCACAGCCCAGGCCAGGCAGCCCCCUCUCACCCCCUGCACCUCAAGAUGGGGACGCUGCAUGAUGGGUGUGCUCAGGCCAGCGCUUCCUCCCAGGGUUGAGGAGUGCAGUUCAUCACCCACUGGACCUCCAGGGGUGCCCCAGGGGACCUGGGAGGAGGGAAGAAGACAGGCUUUGGCAAUAUGCUGACUCGCCUUCCUGCCAUCAGUCUUGGGGUGACAGCCCCACGGAGGCUGUUUCCCUGGCAGGGCCGCCUGGCUCUCCCACUGCCGCUGCCGCUGCCCAGUCCACAUAGACGGCUGCUGUCUAGACAGCC